GAACUGCUGUGGGCCAGCCAGUGGGUGCAGAAGGUCUUAUACCCCUGCAGUUGGAGCAGGAAGGAGAACUCGUGAAUGAGUGAGGUUCGCAGUCCUGGAAUACGUGCACUCCAGAGGCAUUUAAUGAAAGUUAUGAUGAAUGUUUUUGACGAGAAAAGAAUGAAAUGAGAGACCAUCCUGAACCUGGAGACUGAAACAAAGAAGGUUUGUCUAGUCUUUGUGUGAGCGAAUCCUAACCCACAAACUCAGGCAGGUAUACAGAAAUGUAA
RNAcentral lists this long non-coding RNA (269 nucleotides) under Bos mutus (wild yak). Its description in RNAcentral is "lncRNA (ENSBMUG00000025616.1)". The record is from RNAcentral. Lineage: Eukaryota; Metazoa; Chordata; Mammalia; Artiodactyla; Bovidae.